GCUAGUGUAGCUUACUAAAGCACGGCACUGAAAAUGCCAAGACAGAUAAUAAUAAAUCUCACAAGCA
RNAcentral lists this transfer RNA (67 nucleotides) under Plethodon elongatus (Del Norte salamander). RNAcentral's name for it is "tRNA-Phe". It matches the Rfam family "tRNA". Rfam says of the family: Transfer RNA (tRNA) molecules are approximately 80 nucleotides in length. The record is from RNAcentral. Lineage: Eukaryota; Metazoa; Chordata; Amphibia; Caudata; Plethodontidae.